UCUCUUUAUACUUCUCCCUCCCUCCCAAUUGCACUCUCACAAUAGAUCCCUUACUCGCGCCGUUCCUCCUUCCCACCCUCGUCCUUCGCUAGUUCGCUUCCGCCGUCCCUCCCUCCGUCGUCCCUCCCUCUCUCAGUCAUCCUCACUCUGUCGACCUCGCAAUUGGUUCACUCACGCUAUGGAAUUCGCUGCGUGAAAGUUACUCCAUUGAUGAAGUUACGAAACUAGUUCUUGGUCGUGACUCGUACCACCACCAUGGAUGAGAACUCAAAGGUCGUCGAAGUCCGGCCUCCCUGGUUGCUCCAUCAGCGGGGACACUCCUUAACUCCAAUCUCCCAAAAUACAGGCAUGUUUUGAAUUUAUCAUAGUGGGUGCAGUUCAGAAGAAUGGCGAUGGUGGGAGGACAGAGAGGGAGAUGGUAAUAGGUGAAGAGGAGAGAGGUGACUGAUUUGACAAGGUCAAAGAAGGUAGUGAGACAUGAUGGUGGUGGUGGUGAUGGUGAUGGUAAUGACCAUUAUGGAGGCUCAGGGUGGGCUUUGGCAGACGAUAAAGGAUGGGGCUGGAAAUUUCAUAUUCUUGCAUUUUCAUAUAAAAUCUUUUUAAUUAAAAUAAUAACUUAAAUUAUGAAACGAGUUUCUUAAUUGUGAACAUCAAUUUCAUCAAGCACAGAUUGUUUUAGGAAGUAUCCCCUCAAAUAUUUGUCUGAAAGAUCUUAUUCGUGAAAAAUAUGUACCAUGGUAAGAACAACCCAGGUUCUGCCAGACUAUAAAUCCAAAAAUUCUUGAAUCAGACUAGACCUUAAACAUGUGCAACACCCCAACUAAUGAAAAAUAAUAUCUGCCUAGUGCUUCAAUAGCAUUUCGUAUUGUACAACAUUGCUAGAGAGAGAAAACUAGAAUGCACAUAGCUUAUUAGUUAGUAUAUAUUACUCCCUCCAUUUUGAAUUUCCUCCAAAAUCUUAUAUCUGUUUACAGAAAUCAGUUUGCAUAAUAUGAUGUUAAGACUUUAGAAAUAAGAAAUAAAAGGAAAAGUGAAGAAAGAAAAGAAUGAUGAGUUGUUAGUAGUGACUUUUAUCUUAAGAAACUAUUUUAUGUGGUAGAUAUCAAGAGUUACAUUACAAUAAAAGUCAACAGACUAAAUCAAUUCAUAUAAGUACAUUCUUCAUGGAUGUUCAUAUUUUUUCUCUCCUUUUUUUGGUUUUAGUUACAGGGCCUGCUCUUUUGUCUUCCACAUUCUAGAGAAAAUUUUUAUAGUAUCAACAGUAAACUCUGAUCUUCUUAUGUCUUGUAAGAAAUAUUAUGUAAUUAUAUGUUUCUCUAGCUUAUCUUUACAUCAUGUUCUAGAACCAGAUUAUCUAUUUAUGUUUGUGAUCUUUCGA
Molecule: long non-coding RNA, 1378 nt
Organism: Beta vulgaris subsp. vulgaris (sugar beet)
Lineage: Eukaryota; Viridiplantae; Streptophyta; Magnoliopsida; Caryophyllales; Amaranthaceae
Exons: 2
Source: RefSeq, a predicted model, not a curated record